AGAAGAGGCUUCCUGGGGAAGAUGGCACUGGAUCUUUAUGGAGGAGCAGGAUUCGAAAUGGUAGAGGAGAGAGAGUGAAGUGGAAGAGAUCUUGCAACAUUUCCUGCCCCACUGACCCCCUACUUUGGGCCUUAGCCCCAAGAGAAGAAGUAUGACUACCCUACUGUUCACAAACAAAGAUGUGGAAUCAACCUAAGUGUCCAUCAAUGGAUAAUUGGAUAAAGAAAAUGUGGCAUAGAUCUAUACAAUGGAAUACUAUUCAGCUAUAAAAAAGACUGAAAUCACAUCUUUUACAAAAACAUGGAUGAAACUGGAGGCCAUUCUCUUUAAGUGAAAUCACUCGGAAAUAGAAAGUCAAAUACCGCAUGUUCUCACUUACAAGUGGGAGCUACAUAAUAUGUACUCAUGGACAUAGAGUGUGGAAUGAUGGACAUUGGAGACUUGGAAGGGUGGAGGUGGAUGGGAGGGGUUGAGGGAUGAGAAAUUAUUUAAUAGGUACAAUGUAUAUUAUUUCGGUGAUGGUUACACUAAAAACCCAGACUUCACCACUGGGCAAUAUAUCCGUGUAAUAAAACUGCAUUUGUACCCCUUAAAUUUAUACAACUAAUAAAUAAAGAAGUA
This 621-nucleotide long non-coding RNA is filed under the name Homo sapiens (human). RNAcentral describes it as "HSALNT0345605". Lineage: Eukaryota; Metazoa; Chordata; Mammalia; Primates; Hominidae. The record is from RNAcentral.